Molecule: small nuclear RNA, 18 nt
Filed under: Arabidopsis thaliana (thale cress)
Lineage: Eukaryota; Viridiplantae; Streptophyta; Magnoliopsida; Brassicales; Brassicaceae
Description: snRNA_01635
Source: RNAcentral
CCUCGGCAUCAGCGUGCU